This 433-nucleotide ribosomal RNA is filed under the name uncultured bacterium. Its description in RNAcentral is "partial 16S ribosomal RNA". It matches the Rfam family "Bacterial small subunit ribosomal RNA", at positions 29 to 507 of the family's 1533-position model. The record is from RNAcentral.
AACGAACGCUGGCGGCAUGCCUAACACAUGCAAGUCGAACGAGACCUUCGGGUCUAGUGUCGCACGGGUGCGUAACGCGUGGGAACCUGCCCUUAGGUUCGGAAUAACUCCCCGAAAGGGGUGCUAAUACCGGAUAAUGUCUUCGGACCAAAGAUUUAUCGCCUUUGGAUGGGCCCGCGUUGGAUUAGCUAGUUGGUAGGGUAAAAGCCUACCAAGGCGACGAUCCAUAGCUGGUCUGAGAGGAUGAUCAGCCACACUGGGACUGAGACACGGCCCAGACUCCUACGGGAGGCAGCAGUGGGGAAUAUUGGACAGUGGGCGAAAGCCUGAUCCAGCAAUGCCGCGUGAGUGAUGAAGGCCUUAGGGUUGUAAAGCUCUUUUAACCGGGAUGAUAAUGACAGUACCGGGAGAAUAAGCUCCGGCUAACUCCGUG